UGAUUUUAGUUAGACCAACACUAAUGCAUCGGAUCCCAUCUGAACUCCAAAGUCAAGCGUGCUUGAGCAAGUGUAGUACUAGGAUGGGUGAUCUCCUGGGACGUCCUUGUGUUGCACCAC
This 120-nucleotide ribosomal RNA is filed under the name Amborella trichopoda. The record is from RNAcentral. Lineage: Eukaryota; Viridiplantae; Streptophyta; Magnoliopsida; Amborellales; Amborellaceae.